GACGUAGGGGGCCAGCGUUGUUCGGAAUUACUGGGUGUAAAGGGUCAGUAGGCGGUGCGGCAAGUCGGGAGUGAAAUCUCUGGGCUUAACCCAGAGGCUGCUUCCGAAACUGCUGUGCUUGAGUGUGGGAGAGGCGCGUGGAAUUGCAGGUGUAGCGGUGAAAUGCGUAGAUAUCUGCAGGAACACCCGUGGCGAAAGCGGCGAGCUGGACCACAACUGACGCUGAAUGACGAAAGCUAGGGGAGCAAACAGG
RNAcentral lists this ribosomal RNA (253 nucleotides) under uncultured bacterium. Its description in RNAcentral is "partial 16S ribosomal RNA". It matches the Rfam family "Bacterial small subunit ribosomal RNA", at positions 524 to 776 of the family's 1533-position model. The record is from RNAcentral.